GUCUAAAAGAAUAGAUACGACAAUUUUCAAAAUAAAUCGGAUUUCAACCGGUAUAAUCUACAAUGAACCGGUCUUCUUCAUUAGUAGCCUAAUGAAAAACCCUUCGGAGCCCAGAGCAUCAUUCUUCCCGUCUUCUUCUCUUCGACCAUUAUCUGUUUGUGGCCACCGCAAACCCCGACAAGGAUAGUUUUGCCUUAACCUACGCCCUCCUUCCUCUUAAUGUGUGCACCUAUUCAGCUCAACAAACCCUAUACUUCUGCUCUGUUGCCUUAAAUUUGUUCCAGUGGUGUUUCUAGUAGAAGAAACCUUCUCCAUCGACGCGCUUCGUGUUGGGGAUAUACCUGAAACACGACAAACCCCGCUAGAAGGUUGGUUUAUCAGACAUCUGAUUUUGUGGAGCUCGCGACUUGUUUCAGGGGAUAUACCUGCGGCGAUUGUCGAAGAUGAGGAGUUGGCAGUGGACGCUGCUUGGAGGGCCCUCUCCAGGAAUGGAGGGAAAUAUUAGGCAUCGGCUUCCGGGGCUUAUCGCGCCAAGUAUUUGUGUGCCAUUGCUGCAAAGGCACUGAGGUUGAGGUCAAAUGAGUUAAAGUUGGAGAGGCAAUUGGAGAAUUCAAAUGCUGAGAUCACUUCAUACAAGUCCAACCAAUAUGUUAAGUGGAUUUGCAUUGGAAGAUGUGCUGCAUUAUUAGAGAAUUUGAUUAACUUUUUUUUUAAGUUCUUGUAUUAUUUAUA
Molecule: long non-coding RNA, 732 nt
Organism: Nelumbo nucifera (sacred lotus)
Lineage: Eukaryota; Viridiplantae; Streptophyta; Magnoliopsida; Proteales; Nelumbonaceae
Source: RefSeq, a predicted model, not a curated record